AUUCACAACCCAUACCAGCCGGAAUUCGCCUGAUAUCGUCUGAUCUCUGAAGCUAAGCAGGCUCGGGCCUGGUUAGUACUUGGAUUGGAGACCACCUGGGAACACCAGGUGCUGUAAGCU
Oncorhynchus mykiss (rainbow trout) is the source of this 120-nucleotide ribosomal RNA. Lineage: Eukaryota; Metazoa; Chordata; Actinopteri; Salmoniformes; Salmonidae. The record is from Ensembl.